RNAcentral lists this ribosomal RNA (434 nucleotides) under uncultured bacterium. Its description in RNAcentral is "partial 16S ribosomal RNA". It matches the Rfam family "Bacterial small subunit ribosomal RNA", at positions 29 to 507 of the family's 1533-position model. The record is from RNAcentral.
AGCGAACGCUGGCGGCAGGCCUAACACAUGCAAGUCGAACGAACCUUUCGGGGUUAGUGGCGGACGGGUGAGUAACACGUGGGAACGUGCCUUUAGGUUCGGAAUAACUCAGGGAAACUUGUGCUAAUACCGAAUGUGCCCUUCGGGGGAAAGAUUAAUCGCCUUUAGAGCGGCCCGCGUCUGAUUAGCUAGUUGGUUGAGGUAAUGGCACACCAAGGCGACGAUCAGUAGCUGGUCUGAGAGGAUGAUCAGCCACCUUGGGACUGAGACACGGCCCAGACUCCUACGGGAGGCAGCAGUGGGGAAUCUUGCGCAAUGGGCGAAAGCCUGACGCAGCCAUGCCGCGUGAAUGAUGAAGGUCUUAGGAUUGUAAAAUUCUUUCACCGGGGACGAUAAUGACGGUACCCGGAGAAGAAGCCCCGGCUAACUUCGUG